AUACGGAGGGGGUUAGCGUUGUUCGGAAUUACUGGGCGUAAAGCGUACGUAGGCGGAUUAGUAAGUUAGGGGUGAAAUCCCGAGGCUCAACCUCGGAACUGCCUCUAAAACUGCUAGUCUUGAGUUCGAGAGAGGUGAGUGGAAUUCCUAGUGUAGAGGUGAAAUUCGUAGAUAUUAGGAGGAACACCAGUGGCGAAGGCGGCUCACUGGCUCGAUACUGACGCUGAGGUACGAAAGUGUGGGGAGCAAACAGGAUUAGAAACCCUUGUAGUCC
Molecule: ribosomal RNA, 274 nt
Filed under: uncultured bacterium
Lineage: Bacteria
Description: partial 16S ribosomal RNA
Rfam family: Bacterial small subunit ribosomal RNA
Source: RNAcentral